Molecule: ribosomal RNA, 337 nt
Filed under: uncultured bacterium
Lineage: Bacteria
Description: bacterial SSU rRNA
Rfam family: Bacterial small subunit ribosomal RNA
Source: RNAcentral
AGGGUUUGAUUAUGGCUCAGGAUGAACGCUAGCUACAGGCUUAACACAUGCAAGUCGAGGGGAAACGACAUUGGAAGCUUGCUUCCGAUGGGCGUCGACCGGCGCACGGGUGAGUAACGCGUAUCCAACCUGCCCACCACUUGGGAAUAACCUUGCGAAAGUAAGACUAAUGCCCAAUGACGUUGAAAGAAGACAUCUGAUUUCAACUAAAGAUUCAUCGGUGAUGGAUGGGGAUGCGUCCGAUUAGCUUGUUGGCGGGGUAACGGCCCACCAAGGCAACGAUCGGUAGGGGUUCUGAGAGGAAGGUCCCCCACAUUGGAACUGAGACACGGUCCAA